UGCAGUCGAGCGACAGACGAGGAGCUUGCUCCUUUGACGUUAGCGGCGGACGGGUGAGUAACACGUGGGUAACCUACCUAUAAGACUGGGAUAACUUCGGGAAACCGGAGCUAAUACCGGAUAAUAUUUCGAACCGCAUGGUUCGAUAGUGAAAGAUGGCUUUGCUAUCACUUAUAGAUGGACCUGCGCCGUAUUAGCUAGUUGGUAAGGUAACGGCUUACCAAGGCAACGAUACGUAGCCGACCUGAGAGGGUGAUCGGCCACACUGGAACUGAGACACGGUCCAGACUCCUACGGGAGGCAGCAGUAGGGAAUCUUCCGCAAUGGGCGAAAGCCUGACGGAGCAACGCCGCGUGAGUGAUGAAGGUCUUCGGAUCGUAAAACUCUGUUAUUAGGGAAGAACAAACGUGUAAGUAACUGUGCACGUCUUGACGGUACCUAAUCAGAAAGCCACGGCUAACUACGUGCCAGCAGCCGCGGUAAUACGUAGGUGGCAAGCGUUAUCCGGAAUUAUUGGGCGUAAAGCGCGCGUAGGCGGUUUUUUAAGUCUGAUGUGAAAGCCCACGGCUCAACCGUGGAGGGUCAUUGGAAACUGGAAAACUUGAGUGCAGAAGAGGAAAGUGGAAUUCCAUGUGUAGCGGUGAAAUGCGCAUAGAUAUGGAGGAACACCAGU
Molecule: ribosomal RNA, 673 nt
Filed under: Staphylococcus hominis
Lineage: Bacteria; Bacillati; Bacillota; Bacilli; Caryophanales; Staphylococcaceae
Description: bacterial SSU rRNA
Rfam family: Bacterial small subunit ribosomal RNA
Source: RNAcentral